This 67-nucleotide transfer RNA is filed under the name Triops cancriformis. RNAcentral's name for it is "tRNA-Asp". The record is from RNAcentral. Lineage: Eukaryota; Metazoa; Arthropoda; Branchiopoda; Notostraca; Triopsidae.
AUAGAAAUCUAGUUUAUUAAAAAUUUAAGCUUGUCAAGCUUAAGAAGUCAAUUGGGACGAUUUCUAA